ACACUCCUGCGGGAGGCAGCAGUGGGGAAUAUUGGACAAUGGGCGCAAGCCUGAUCCAGCCAUGCCGCGUGAGUGAUGAAGGCCCUAGGGUUGUAAAGCUCUUUCACCGGUGAAGAUAAUGACGGUAACCGGAGAAGAAGCCCCGGCUAACUUCGUGCCAGCAGCCGCGGUAAUACGAAGGGGGCUAGCGUUGUUCGGAUUUACUGGGCGUAAAGCGCACGUAGGCGGACUAUUAAGUCAGGGGUGAAAUCCCGGGGCUCAACCCCGGAACUGCCUUUGAUACUGGUAGUCUUGAGUUCUAGAGAGGUGAGUGGAAUUCCGAGUGCAGAGGUGAAAUUCGUAGAUAUUCGGAGGAACACCAGUGGCGAAGGCGGCUCACUGGCUCGAUACUGACGCUGAGGUGCGAAAGCGUGGGGAGCAAACAGGAUUAGAAACCCGGGUAGUCCCAUGA
This 451-nucleotide ribosomal RNA is filed under the name uncultured organism. Its description in RNAcentral is "partial 16S ribosomal RNA". It matches the Rfam family "Bacterial small subunit ribosomal RNA", at positions 333 to 800 of the family's 1533-position model. The record is from RNAcentral.